AUAGAUACUGUAAAUCCAAAUGC
This 23-nucleotide non-coding RNA is filed under the name Cricetulus griseus (Chinese hamster). Lineage: Eukaryota; Metazoa; Chordata; Mammalia; Rodentia; Cricetidae. The record is from RNAcentral.